UGGAUGAUGUGGAUUAAUUCGAUGCAACGCGAAAACCUUACCUACCCUUGACAUGUCUGGAACCUUGCUGAGAGGCGAGGGUGCCUUCGGGAGCCAGAACACGGGUGCUGCAUGGCUGUCGUCAGCUCGUGUCGUGAGAUGUUGGGUUAAGUCCCGCAACGAGCGCAACCCUUGUCACUAGUUGCCAUCAUUUAGUUGGGCACUCUAGUGAGACUGCCGGUGACAAAACGGAGGAAGGUGGGGAUGACGUCAAAUCAUCAUGCCCCUUAUGUUCUGGGCUACACACGUGCUACAAUGGCCGGUACAGACGGACGCAAAGCCGCGAGGUGGAGCAAAUCCUAAAAAGCCGGUCUCAGUUCGGAUUGCAGGCUGCAAUUCGCCUGCAUGAAGUCGGAAUCGCUAGUAAUCGCAGGUCAGCAUACUGCGGUGAAUACGUUCCCGGGCCUU
RNAcentral lists this ribosomal RNA (447 nucleotides) under uncultured Thauera sp. RNAcentral's name for it is "bacterial SSU rRNA". It matches the Rfam family "Bacterial small subunit ribosomal RNA", at positions 933 to 1382 of the family's 1533-position model. The record is from RNAcentral. Lineage: Bacteria; Pseudomonadati; Pseudomonadota; Betaproteobacteria; Rhodocyclales; Zoogloeaceae.